RNAcentral lists this ribosomal RNA (253 nucleotides) under uncultured bacterium. Its description in RNAcentral is "partial 16S ribosomal RNA". It matches the Rfam family "Bacterial small subunit ribosomal RNA", at positions 524 to 776 of the family's 1533-position model. The record is from RNAcentral.
GACGUAGGGCGCGAGCGUUGUCCGGAUUUAUUGGGCGUAAAGCGCACGUAGGCGGGUUGUUAAGUCGGGGGUGAAAUCCUGGAGCUCAACUCCAGAACUGCCUUCGAUACUGGCGACCUUGAGUCCGGGAGAGGUGAGUGGAACUCCGAGUGUAGAGGUGAAAUUCGUAGAUAUUCGGAAGAACACCAGUGGCGAAGGCGGCUCACUGGCCCGGUACUGACGCUGAGGUGCGAAAGCGUGGGGAGCAAACAGG